AUCACGAACACUUGAUCUUCGCGUCAAGGGUCUUCUCGACUUAGCCUUGAUCACGAACACUUGAUCUUUGCUUCAAGGGUCUUCACGACUUAAUCUUGAUCACAAACACUUGAUCUUCGCUUCAAGGGUCUUCACGACUUAAUGUUGAUCACGAACACUUGAUCUUCGCUUCAAGGGUCUUCACGACUUAAUGUUGAUCACGAACACAAUAUCUUGAUCACGAACUUCGCUUGAUAUCUUGAUCACGAACUUCGUUGCCACUUGAUCACGAACUUCGUU
Molecule: long non-coding RNA, 279 nt
Filed under: Theobroma cacao (cacao)
Lineage: Eukaryota; Viridiplantae; Streptophyta; Magnoliopsida; Malvales; Malvaceae
Description: long non-coding RNA (TCAC_LNC006104)
Source: RNAcentral